RNAcentral lists this ribosomal RNA (119 nucleotides) under Pteropus alecto (black flying fox). RNAcentral also lists the same sequence under 1 other name. The record is from RNAcentral. Lineage: Eukaryota; Metazoa; Chordata; Mammalia; Chiroptera; Pteropodidae.
GUCUACGGCCACGCCACCCUGAACAAGCCCGAUGCUGUCUGAUCUCGGAAGCUAAGCAGGGUCGGGCCUGGUUAGUACUUGGAUGAGAGACCACCUAGGAAGACCGAGUGCUGUAAGCG